UAAGUGAAUUAUUUGUCUUUUUGUUGUUGAGGUGUUGAAGUGUUCUAUAGAUUUCAUUGUAUUUUUGAGAACUGCUCUUUAUUAUGAUUGUUACUUUAUUCAUCCAGCUAAUAUUUAAUUAGCUACUGCUGUGUGUGUUCCAGGCAAUGUGAAUUUAUUAUACUUUUUCCUAUGACUUUAUAUAACAUCAAAAGAUUGUUUUCUCUCUGUUGCAUUUUCAUGUUAGUAAUUUAAAUAAAGGAGUUUGAACAGAUAUGACAGUUAACAAAUGUGGGAACACAAGGUAGAAAGUACUAGUAUUUGAAAAAUAUUCAUUCUCCAUCCCAUGGCUGAUAAUAUAUGUCCUGCCUUCAGCCUUGGUGGCACAGUGGUUAAGCGUUUGACUGCUAACCAAAAAGUCUGCAGUUCCAGGCUGCUCCUUCGAAACCCUAUGGGGCAGUUCUACCCUGUCCUGUAGGGUCGCUAUGAGUGGGAAUCGUCUCGAUGGCAACAGUUUUGUUGUGUUUUGUUUUUACCUUCACUGUUAUAUUCAUUACCUUAAUUUACACUCCAAUUUUAUUAAGGAAAUCUAAAGAAGCAAGAGCAGACUUGUCAAAGAUCUGACUCCUAUAGAGAGCAAUUUCAGAGAAAGCUUCAUAUUAAAAGAUACCUCCAGCCAUAAAAUUGUUCCCCAGAUAUUGUUCAAAUUAUCUCUCAUUGUCUAAAAUACUACGGAAUUGCUCUUCUCUGUUGUAUAUUUUUAACUUUAAUAUAUCUUAAAGUUGCUUUCAUCCAGUGGUAUACCGGUAGAUUUAACGAAUGACUGUCUGGGGGAUGGGAAGCCCUGAUUUGUAAAUUUUCCAAUUUCCAUGGUGUAAAUACUCCCACUAUAGCCAAUUCAAGCUACCAGUGUGAUUCGCUGAAUGCAGAGUUGGGAAAAGAUAUCCACAAUUGGCCUUCCAAAGCCAGUAUUAGCUGGCUGUAGCACAACACUGCCUUUAUCUAGAUAUUUGUACAUGUUUAAAUUAAAAAUCCUUAAUCUAAAAAAAAAAAAAAUCAGUUCUUUAAAAAAAAUUUUGUUCAAAUUUUUAAAUUUAGAUUUUAAUUUUUUUUUUUUAAUUUCUUCUAUCUUGGACUCCAAAUUACUGUGUUCCAGUUUCAUUUUCAGACUAUGGUUUCCUCUUUCCCUAAGAUGUUUGGCCUAUAAAGAAGAGUUUGGAAACUUUGUAGUACAUUUCCAAUUGCUUCAUUCACCCCUUCUAACAAAGAAACAUAUGAAUGAACUGGAUCAACAUGUAUCAUCAUGGAUAAACCUCAAAAUCAUAACAUUGAAUAUUUAUUGAACAAAGAAAGUUGCAAAUGUGUAGGUACAGUAUGAUACCAGUUAUAAAAGUUUUAUAUAUAUUUUUAUAAAUUGUUUAUGAGCAUAUAUAUGUACUAAUAAAACAUAAGAACAUAGAUGUGAAGGAUACAAUUUAAAAGUAGUAAACUGGAGGGAGGAAGGGGAAUGGGUUAUAUCUGUAUCUUUUUUUUUGAAGGAAAAAAUCUGAGACGAAUAGGACAAAAUAAUGAGAAAUCUAAGUGAUAGGUCACUGUGAUAAUAUUCUGCUAUUUUAUGUAUUUAAAACACUUAAUAAUUUAACUUCUAAAAAUCAGAAAUAAAUGUACAUUCCUUAAAAAAAAAAAAAAA
Trichechus manatus latirostris (Florida manatee) is the source of this 1669-nucleotide long non-coding RNA. RefSeq lists it as uncharacterized. The transcript is spliced from 2 exons. NCBI's taxonomy places the organism in Eukaryota, Metazoa, Chordata, Mammalia, Sirenia, Trichechidae. The record is from RefSeq and is a predicted model, not a curated record.